CAGGAAAAGCCUCUAAGCUUCAGAUAGUCAGGAAUCGUACCCCAAACCGACACAGGUGGUCGGGUAGAGAAUACCAAGGCGCUUGAGAGAACUCGGGUGAAGGAACUAGGCAAAAUGGUACCGUAACUUCGGGAGAAGGUACGCUCUUGAUGGUGAAGUCCCUCGCGGAUGGAGCUGACGAGAGUCGCAGAUACCAGGUGGCUGCAACUGUUUAU
RNAcentral lists this ribosomal RNA (215 nucleotides) under Vibrio cholerae. Its description in RNAcentral is "partial 23S ribosomal RNA". It matches the Rfam family "Bacterial large subunit ribosomal RNA", at positions 1609 to 1807 of the family's 2925-position model. Lineage: Bacteria; Pseudomonadati; Pseudomonadota; Gammaproteobacteria; Vibrionales; Vibrionaceae. The record is from RNAcentral.